RNAcentral lists this unclassified non-coding RNA (203 nucleotides) under Hevea brasiliensis (rubber tree). Lineage: Eukaryota; Viridiplantae; Streptophyta; Magnoliopsida; Malpighiales; Euphorbiaceae. The record is from RNAcentral.
GAAGUUAUCAGCACAAUGAGAUCAGUUCUACCAUUCCAGAUGGUGGAAUGGAAUUUGCAACUAAGUCAAUAGAGAUGAAUCUCUAACCAAUCAGGGACUUACACAGUACACACAAAUUGGCUAUACAUAUAUAUAUGAGACAGAAUUUCAAAAUAAUAAAUCAACGGAAAUUUUUUGUGCAAAAUUGAUGCAGGAUAUAAGAA